CGCACCUGCCUCUUCCUUCCUCUGCUGCGAAGCUGGUCCAAAUUAAGCAGCGGAAAAAAACGCGUGUGGACGGUGCCAGAGCGAGAGCACGGCAACACCCCCUUCCUCUCGGACCCUUCCUGGCCUUUCGUCUACCAUUCUGAGCCCUAUGUGGGCCAUGGCAGCCUGCAUCCAUGCUUGGUUACCUCCGCCUCCCCUCUUCUUACCUCUGCAGUGUGUCAUGUGAUUGCCAUUAGGAUUGUGGCCAUCACAUUCCUUUCAAACCAAGCUUGCCUGUACCCACCCAAUAAAGAGUC
Molecule: long non-coding RNA, 296 nt
Organism: Alosa alosa (allis shad)
Lineage: Eukaryota; Metazoa; Chordata; Actinopteri; Clupeiformes; Clupeidae
Exons: 3
Source: RefSeq, a predicted model, not a curated record